UGCACCUAUCCCACAACCUUUGUUGAGCCACAUUAAUGGCAGGUCGGGAGCAUGUGCCAUCAACAAAACCAAUUUUGUUUUUGGCUGAUAAAUCAACAAUCAUUUUACGUCUCCAGCUCCCAUAACCACUACCCGAGAAGAGAGUGGGAACAAGAGAGACCCUAGGGACAUCAGAAGAAUAUACAAAAAGGGGACUGGAAGAGUCUACAGAGGAGGAGGCACCAGUAUUUGUGUUAGAAGCCAUAGUCAAUGAACCGGCUUAAAAGAACAAUUUUUCAACAAACAGAGUAUAACCAAAUCAGGUA
RNAcentral lists this long non-coding RNA (305 nucleotides) under Nicotiana benthamiana. RNAcentral's name for it is "long non-coding RNA (NBEN_LNC028485)". The record is from RNAcentral. Lineage: Eukaryota; Viridiplantae; Streptophyta; Magnoliopsida; Solanales; Solanaceae.